AACACAUCAGAUUUCCUGGUGUAACGAAUUUUUUAAGUGCUUCUUGCUUAAGCAAGUUUCAUCCCCCCCCCCCCCCCCCCCGGGGGGGUUUU
This 92-nucleotide non-coding RNA is filed under the name Escherichia coli MS 45-1. RNAcentral's name for it is "DsrA RNA". It matches the Rfam family "DsrA RNA". Rfam says of the family: DsrA RNA regulates both transcription, by overcoming transcriptional silencing by the nucleoid-associated H-NS protein, and translation, by promoting efficient translation of the stress sigma factor, RpoS. Lineage: Bacteria; Pseudomonadati; Pseudomonadota; Gammaproteobacteria; Enterobacterales; Enterobacteriaceae. The record is from RNAcentral.